GAUGGACGCUGGCGGCGUGCCUAAUACAUGCAAGUCGAGCGAACAGACGAGGAGCUUGCUCCUCUGACGUUAGCGGCGGACGGGUGAGUAACACGUGGAUAACCUACCUAUAAGACUGGGAUAACUUCGGGAAACCGGAGCUAAUACCGGAUAAUAUAUUGAACCGCAUGGUUCAAUAGUGAAAGACGGUUUUGCUGUCACUUAUAGAUGGAUCCGCGCCGCAUUAGCUAGUUGGUAAGGUAACGGCUUACCAAGGCAACGAUGCGUAGCCGACCCGAGAGGGUGAUCGGCCACACUGGAACUGAGACACGGUCCAGACUCCUACGGGAGGCAGCAGUAGGGAAUCUUCCGCAAUGGGCGAAAGCCUGACGGAGCAACGCCGCGUGAGUGAUGAAGGUCUUCGGAUCGUAAAACUCUGUUAUUAGGGAAGAACAAAUGUGUAAGUAACUAUGCACGUCUUGACGGUACCUAAUCAGAAAGCCACGGCUAACUACGUG
RNAcentral lists this ribosomal RNA (497 nucleotides) under uncultured bacterium. RNAcentral's name for it is "partial 16S ribosomal RNA". It matches the Rfam family "Bacterial small subunit ribosomal RNA", at positions 28 to 507 of the family's 1533-position model. The record is from RNAcentral.